CAGCAGCCGCGGUAAUACCAGCACCUCAAGUGGUCAGGAGGAUUAUUGGGCCUAAAGCAUCCGUAGCCUGUUCUAUAAGUUUCCCGUUAAAUCCAUUAGCUCAACUAAUGGGCUGCCGGAAAUACUGUAAAACUAGGAAGUGGGAGAGGUAGACGGUACUCGGUAGGAAGGGGUAAAAUCCUUUGAUCUAUUGAUGACCACCUGUGGCGAAGGCGGUCUACCAGAACACGUUCGACGGUGAGGGAUGAAAGCUGGGGGAGCAAACCGGAUUAGAUACCCGGGUAGUCCCAGCUGUAAACGAUGCAGACUCGGUGAUGCCCUGGCUUGUGGCCAGUGCAGUGCCGCAGGGAAGCCGUUAAGUUUGCCGCCUGGGAAGUACGUACGCAAGUAUGAAACUUAAAGGAAUUGGCGGGGGAGCACCACAAGGGGUGAAGCCUGCGGUUCAAUUGGAGUCAACGCCAGAAAUCUUACCCGAAGAGACAGCAGAAUGAAGGUCAAGCUGGAGACUUUACCAGACAAGCUGAGAAGUGGUGCAUGGCCGUCGUCAGCUCGUGCCGUGAGAUGUCCUGUUAAGUCAGGUAACGAGCGAGAUCCCUGCCUCUAGUUGCCACCAUUACUCUCAGGAGUAGUGGGGCGAAUUAGCGGGACCGCCGCAGUUAAUGCGGAGGAAGGAAGGGGCCACGGCAGGUCAGUAUGCCCUGAAACUUUGGGGCCACACGCGGGCUGCAAUGGUAGUGACAAUGGGUUCCGAAUCCGAAAGGUGGAGGUAAUCCUCAAACGCUACCACAGUUAUGAUUGAGGGCUGCAACUCGUCCUCAUGAAUAUGGAAUCCCUAGUAACUGCGUGUCAUUACCGCGCAGUGAAUACGUCCCUGCUCCUUGCACACACCGCCCGU
This 895-nucleotide ribosomal RNA is filed under the name uncultured archaeon. RNAcentral's name for it is "bacterial SSU rRNA". It matches the Rfam family "Archaeal small subunit ribosomal RNA", at positions 459 to 1353 of the family's 1478-position model. The record is from RNAcentral.